RNAcentral lists this unclassified non-coding RNA (213 nucleotides) under Hevea brasiliensis (rubber tree). The record is from RNAcentral. Lineage: Eukaryota; Viridiplantae; Streptophyta; Magnoliopsida; Malpighiales; Euphorbiaceae.
CUGGAAUUGAGUAAUUUGUGGCGAGAUUGGGAUAUGGGUGAGGUAUUUCAACUAAUAGUAAGAGAGGAAAAGGGGGCAGCAUCAAUAGGGAGUGAGGGAGAGAGUGGGUUUAAGUGAGAGAGAGAGUUUGUAUGGGGGAGGGAGAGAGAAAAAUAUAUUUUCUUAUUCUAAUUUUCAGAAAAUAAAUUAAACGGGUUCUAUUUAAAAUUUCUA